This 2405-nucleotide ribosomal RNA is filed under the name Escherichia coli. Its description in RNAcentral is "partial 23S ribosomal RNA". It matches the Rfam family "Bacterial large subunit ribosomal RNA", at positions 418 to 2804 of the family's 2925-position model. The record is from RNAcentral. Lineage: Bacteria; Pseudomonadati; Pseudomonadota; Gammaproteobacteria; Enterobacterales; Enterobacteriaceae.
CGGGACACGUGGUAUCCUGUCUGAAUAUGGGGGGACCAUCCUCCAAGGCUAAAUACUCCUGACUGACCGAUAGUGAACCAGUACCGUGAGGGAAAGGCGAAAAGAACCCCGGCGAGGGGAGUGAAAAAGAACCUGAAACCGUGUACGUACAAGCAGUGGGAGCACAGAGCAAUCUGUGUGACUGCGUACCUUUUGUAUAAUGGGUCAGCGACUUAUAUUCUGUAGCAAGGUUAACCGAAUAGGGGAGCCGAAGGGAAACCGAGUCUUAACUGGGCGUUAAGUUGCAGGGUAUAGACCCGAAACCCGGUGAUCUAGCCAUGGGCAGGUUGAAGGUUGGGUAACACUAACUGGAGGACCGAACCGACUAAUGUUGAAAAAUUAGCGGAUGACUUGUGGCUGGGGGUGAAAGGCCAAUCAAACCGGGAGAUAGCUGGUUCUCCCCGAAAGCUAUUUAGGUAGCGCCUCGUGAAUUCAUCUCCGGGGGUAGAGCACUGUUUCGGCAAGGGGGUCAUCCCGACUUACCAACCCGAUGCAAACUGCGAAUACCGGAGAAUGUUAUCACGGGAGACACACGGCGGGUGCUAACGUCCGUCGUGAAGAGGGAAACAACCCAGACCGCCAGCUAAGGUCCCAAAGUCAUGGUUAAGUGGGAAACGAUGUGGGAAGGCCCAGACAGCCAGGAUGUUGGCUUAGAAGCAGCCAUCAUUUAAAGAAAGCGUAAUAGCUCACUGGUCGAGUCGGCCUGCGCGGAAGAUGUAACGGGGCUAAACCAUGCACCGAAGCUGCGGCAGCGACGCUUAUGCGUUGUUGGGUAGGGGAGCGUUCUGUAAGCCUGCGAAGGUGUGCUGUGAGGCAUGCUGGAGGUAUCAGAAGUGCGAAUGCUGACAUAAGUAACGAUAAAGCGGGUGAAAAGCCCGCUCGCCGGAAGACCAAGGGUUCCUGUCCAACGUUAAUCGGGGCAGGGUGAGUCGACCCCUAAGGCGAGGCCGAAAGGCGUAGUCGAUGGGAAACAGGUUAAUAUUCCUGUACUUGGUGUUACUGCGAAGGGGGGACGGAGAAGGCUAUGUUGGCCGGGCGACGGUUGUCCCGGUUUAAGCGUGUAGGCUGGUUUUCCAGGCAAAUCCGGAAAAUCAAGGCUGAGGCGUGAUGACGAGGCACUACGGUGCUGAAGCAACAAAUGCCCUGCUUCCAGGAAAAGCCUCUAAGCAUCAGGUAACAUCAAAUCGUACCCCAAACCGACACAGGUGGUCAGGUAGAGAAUACCAAGGCGCUUGAGAGAACUCGGGUGAAGGAACUAGGCAAAAUGGUGCCGUAACUUCGGGAGAAGGCACGCUGAUAUGUAGGUGAAGUCCCUCGCGGAUGGAGCUGAAAUCAGUCGAAGAUACCAGCUGGCUGCAACUGUUUAUUAAAAACACAGCACUGUGCAAACACGAAAGUGGACGUAUACGGUGUGACGCCUGCCCGGUGCCGGAAGGUUAAUUGAUAGGGUUAGCGGUAACGCGAAGCUCUUGAUCGAAGCCCCGGUAAACGGCGGCCGUAACUAUAACGGUCCUAAGGUAGCGAAAUUCCUUGUCGGGUAAGUUCCGACCUGCACGAAUGGCGUAAUGAUGGCCAGGCUGUCUCCACCCGAGACUCAGUGAAAUUGAACUCGCUGUGAAGAUGCAGUGUACCCGCGGCAAGACGGAAAGACCCCGUGAACCUUUACUAUAGCUUGACACUGAACAUUGAGCCUUGAUGUGUAGGAUAGGUGGGAGGCUUAGAAGUGUGGACGCCAGUCUGCAUGGAGCCGGCCUUGAAAUACCACCCUUUAAUGUUUGAUGUUCUAACGUUGGCCCCUGAUCGGGGUUGCGGACAGUGUCUGGUGGGUAGUUUGACUGGGGCGGUCUCCUCCUAAAGAGUAACGGAGGAGCACGAAGGUUGGCUAAUCCUGGUCGGACAUCAGGAGGUUAGUGCAAUGGCAUAAGCCAGCUUGACUGCGAGCGUGACGGCGCGAGCAGGUGCGAAAGCAGGUCAUAGUGAUCCGGUGGUUCUGAAUGGAAGGGCCAUCGCUCAACGGAUAAAAGGUACUCCGGGGAUAACAGGCUGAUACCGCCCAAGAGUUCAUAUCGACGGCGGUGUUUGGCACCUCGAUGUCGGCUCAUCACAUCCUGGGGCUGAAGUAGGUCCCAAGGGUAUGGCUGUUCGCCAUUUAAAGUGGUACGCGAGCUGGGUUUAGAACGUCGUGAGACAGUUCGGUCCCUAUCUGCCGUGGGCGCUGGAGAACUGAGGGGGGCUGCUCCUAGUACGAGAGGACCGGAGUGGACGCAUCACUGGUGUUCGGGUUGUCAUGCCAAUGGCACUGCCCGGUAGCUAAAUGCGGAAGAGAUAAGUGCUGAAAGCAUCUAAGCACGAAACUUGCCCCGAGA